This is a non-coding RNA of Lactuca sativa (garden lettuce), 1163 nucleotides long. Lineage: Eukaryota; Viridiplantae; Streptophyta; Magnoliopsida; Asterales; Asteraceae. The record is from RefSeq and is a predicted model, not a curated record.
UUGCAAAGUUGUUCGGAUGCACUUCAUGGUUAGGGGCUGGACCAGGGUUGAUGGAUGCUGCAACUCGGGAUGCUAUUGGUCGCUGGGUUCAAGAUUUCUAAAGAAGCAGGGGAAUGGACAACAACCAGUUUUCAUUCGUAUAUUCCUUCUCAUGCUUACCUUACAUGCAGCAUGGGUUGAUGGAUGCAACCGUUAGAAGUAGUAAAGGGGAGAAGACGGGUCUGAUUGUGUUACUAGGUGGAAUUGGUACUCUGGAUGAGGCUUUUGACAUUCUUCCACUCAUCCAGUUCAAGAGGAUAGGUUUUGCACUCCCUGUUCCUUUUGUUUUGAUGAAUUAUGACUCCAUUUAUUCCAAGCUUUUAUAGUUUCUGGAGGUAUGUCAGGAUUGGGGGACUAUUUCCAAAGGAGAGGUUUCCUCCCUUUGGAAAGUAUAUAAAAAGGAACACAAUUUUGUUACCACUGAUUGGUAUUCGAUGUUGGGUUUAAAAAAAGUGUGUCAUCAGUGGAACACAAAUUUGUUACCUUUUAUAAUGCAACUUUUAAAGUAAAAAAAUUCGAAAUUACGAUGUUAUAAUAGAUUAAAAUGGAAGUAAGAUGCUACUGUACAAAAAUGAAUGGAAGUAUGCUAAAUCCAAAAACAAACAGUUGAUGAAGCAAAGAUUUUGCUACCCGGGACAUCAUCGAAGCCGAAAAAGUACAACCCGGUGCACCUACAUGUUGUGAGAUGGCUUCCUCCUUUUCAAUUCAACUUUUGACUAUUUUGCCCCUCUUGUGCUUUGGUGGAGUUUGACAUUUCUGCUGUUGCUACAUACAUUUUGUUUCACAUAGAAGUAUUCAUAAAUAGUCAAAACAACUAAAAGUCUACACUAAAGAUGAAUGAAACAGGUACCUGUUAAAAUGAUUUUUGCAGACCUUUUGUUCUGAUUCCAGUUUAAAUGUGUCAUCUUUUAACAAUGGACACUUAAGAUUUAUGCAACUUAUGAUCAAAUCUGUUGUGAUUCCUUUAACUACUGUGGUGAAAACCGAACCCUGCGGAGCAAGGUUUCCCACCUAUUUUAAUAGCACAUAUCUCAGUUAAAUUUAUUCUGUUCAUUUAAUGUUUCAUAUUGGACACACUUUAUUAUGAAUACUUCUGUGUAUCUCGAUGGUUUAUAUACCUUUCC